RNAcentral lists this ribosomal RNA (253 nucleotides) under Gemmatimonadaceae bacterium. RNAcentral describes it as "partial 16S ribosomal RNA". It matches the Rfam family "Bacterial small subunit ribosomal RNA", at positions 524 to 776 of the family's 1533-position model. RNAcentral also lists the same sequence under 1 other name. The record is from RNAcentral. Lineage: Bacteria; Pseudomonadati; Gemmatimonadota; Gemmatimonadia; Gemmatimonadales; Gemmatimonadaceae.
UACGGAGGGUGCGAGCGUUGUCCGGAAUCACUGGGCGUAAAGGGCGCGUAGGCGGCGCGAGCAGUCGGCGGUGAAAGCCCGGAGCUCAACUCCGGGUCGGCCGUCGAUACUCUCGUGCUUGAGCACUGUAGAGGCAGAUGGAAUUCCGGGUGUAGCGGUGGAAUGCGUAGAGAUCCGGAAGAACACCGGUGGCGAAGGCGGUCUGCUGGGCAGUAGCUGACGCUGAUGCGCGACAGCGUGGGGAGCAAACAGG